Molecule: transfer RNA, 76 nt
Filed under: Oscillospiraceae bacterium
Lineage: Bacteria; Bacillati; Bacillota; Clostridia; Eubacteriales; Oscillospiraceae
Description: tRNA-Asn
Rfam family: tRNA
About the family: Transfer RNA (tRNA) molecules are approximately 80 nucleotides in length. Their secondary structure includes four short double-helical elements and three loops (D, anti-codon, and T loops).
Source: RNAcentral
UCCUCGUUAGCUCAGUUGGUAGAGCAUGCGGCUGUUAACCGCAGGGUCGUUGGUUCGAGCCCAACACGAGGAGCCA